AACAAACCUCACCAACCCCGCCCACACACCCCAUCUCCCUCCUCCUCUGCCACGAUUCCCCUCCCCCAGAUCCACCUUCUUCUCUUCCAGGGCGCGCCGUCCCAUCCCCACUGGGUUUCUUCCCACACCGACGCCGCCCCACCCCCAACCCGCUUCUAGCCCCGCCGACGCCGCCCCAUCCCCAUCCGGCUCCUCCCACGCCAGUUCCGCCACUACCAGGCAACGACGUUCCCGCGCCCAACUCCUCCUCCUUCCCAUGGUCAUGGCGCCACCACGUCCCGUCCGGUGCACUUGAUGCUCUGUCUUCCCCUCCCCAGACCGGAGUUGCAUCCACGACGGUCACAUCGUGCCACCACCAACCUCGGCUGCCAGGGUCCCUCGUCCCCUUCCAUGGCGAGUUGUGCCUCACGUGGAACUCAGACCACCCCACCACCAGAUCCAUCCAGGGGAGGCAAGGGGCUCCGGGCUGCCACCGCAGGCCACACGCGGCCACCACCUCCAUGAAGGUGUGCUCCGGACUGCCACCGCCGGUGCCGCGCCCUUGCCUUCCUCGCUAGAUGCAGCCUCGCCAGCGGUCAAGGCCACGGGCAUAGAGGAGGAAGGAAAAGUUCUCCUAUCCGUCCCCGCUCCCUGCCAGCACCGAUCUGGUUCCCCUCCGCCAAGCCGUACCAUGACGAGUUCUUCCCUGUGUGCUAGUGCUUGUGGACUGCAUCGACUGCGGCAGCCAAAAUCACCAGUCGCUGUUCAGUUUCAUUGCAAAAAUCCUUGGCGCUGGCCACGCCCCGCCUUUUCCUGCUGCUUCGUUUGCGGCGAGGACGGCUUCCUCUCUCUGCCAUGUCAAGCUCCGACCUCCACUACCUGCGCCCGGAGUGCAAACUCCCUUCGGCGAGGAGCGAGGUCCAAUCCUAGCGGGCACGCGAUAUUGUUCGAUGCGCGUGGCCGUGCAGUGCAGUUGAUGCCCCGUGUGCAGCUCACUGACGUGGUCCAAUAGAAAAAUUGGUUUUGUGCGGUUCCAGUGCAGUGCGCAUCAUCUAGUUCCACCUUUUCCUCACUUCUCGCCGGCGUAUAUGGCCCAGGUGGUGCUUUCUAUUGACCGUGAGCGCCGUGCACAGGGCACAUGGCCCAUCGCCCCCGACCCUCAGGGGUUUAAUAUAAUUUUAUAGUGAAAAUGUUUAUGUUCUUUUUUACAAAUAUAUGUGCAGUUUGUUGUAAAUCCAUCUAUGGUUCACUUUGUGAAAAAGAGAGAGAAAAUAAAUACAUCGAUAUUGUAGUGCGAUUUUGGUUG
Long non-coding RNA from Triticum dicoccoides, 1285 nucleotides. RefSeq lists it as uncharacterized. NCBI's taxonomy places the organism in Eukaryota, Viridiplantae, Streptophyta, Magnoliopsida, Poales, Poaceae. The record is from RefSeq and is a predicted model, not a curated record. The transcript is spliced from 2 exons.